Molecule: long non-coding RNA, 94 nt
Filed under: dengue virus type 2
Lineage: Riboviria; Orthornavirae; Kitrinoviricota; Flasuviricetes; Amarillovirales; Flaviviridae
Description: Dengue virus type 2 partial sfRNA1
Source: RNAcentral
UGAAAGUCAGGUCGGAUUAAGCCAUAGUACGGGAAAAACUAUGCUACCUGUGAGCCCCGUCCAAGGACGUAAAAAGAAGUCAGGCCAUCACAAA